AUGAUUCAACAGUGCCCAUACAAAUGGUCAAAGUAAACUGACUCAUUACAUCUAUGGAUGCUAAGUCUUUUCAGGAAUCCAGCUGAACCCAUUCAAUGCCUUGUGAGUUAAGUAAUUAGAGACCUUUUUCAACUGCCACAACUCUUCAAACAUGACAGAGUGACCUUGCCAGCACUUGCUUCUUCAGGACUCUUAUGUUCAUUAGUAACAAAGCAAUGAAAAGAAUACCUGUCAGACUUUGGUUGCCUCUAAACUUCCUAAAUACAUGGGAGCAAGUGAAUGUUCUAUCAGUGGUGCUGGUUCCACAACUGUGAUGUAAAUAAAUCCCAGGUAUUGUGAUGUUAUGCGUUAGACCACAUGGCUGCUAACACUUUCCUGUGAUGUGCAUCUUCAUAUUUGUAGGAGCUUCCUAUCUAUAAGAGACUGAAGUUCAUGGAUUGUCAAGCCAGAAUGCACUUUCUCCUAGUAGAGGGUGUGGAAUAUCACUGUUUCUGUGUCCAGGCUCCUCUUAUGACUGAGUUUAACAUCUGAUGCAGCUGACUGAUCCUCCCAAAAUCCCAGCCAGCCAACAAACAAAAGAAUCAGCUUGUCAGCACAACCAGGAACAGUGAAUGCAAAACAGUAGGUGCCUGUGGUUUGCUUGUCUUCAUGCAAAACAGAAAUCCUCACUUAUUUAUAGCAUGUGGUGGAAGAAUCAGGUGAAUGAGUGCCCUAAUACAGGAGCUGAGUCUCUGCUGCGAUCGUAUGAAAUCCCUCACCUUCAGUUAAGUUCUUGAAGUGCUGAACUCUACCAGCUGGGAUGAGAUGCAAAUUAUCAAUUAAUUUUCCUAGAAAUAGGAGGUUUUUGGUCUCUUUUUCAUCUCAUUAGUAUUUCAUUAAAAGAAAAGAAAGAAGUUCCAUCAUUACCAAACAGGCAAAUCUGUGUAUAACUAACCAUAAAGUUAAAGAGCACAACAUAGACAUGUGUGCAUGUGUUUACAUAAACAUGUAUGCAUGAAUACAAAUGCAAAAACAUGCUGAUAUAUCUGUAUCUCUCUAUAUAUUUAUAUCUGUGGCAUUUGCCAUCUGUUAGCAGUGUAAUACUGGAAAUAAGCAUCUGGCACUGUUUCAUAUAGUAGGGCCUUUUGACAGCUGAUGCUAGGGAAUGCUGUACCUUUGGGGAUUACCAAGUAAUUAAUUAGGAGUAGGUAAACAUACUGCAGAACACGAAAUUCCUAUACUGAAAGCAAGAGUGUCAAGGUACUCUUAGAUUUAUUUUUCAUCUGGCCUAAAGCCUAACAUCAGAUCUAAUGCUUUUUGGCAGGAUGCCCUGACUGUUUUUAGGGCAACUUUUGUUAAAAAUGAACUACGAAAGAUGUUAAUAAUGUUACUUGUUAAUUUUGCAUCCACAUUAUUAUUGCAACUCCACAUUUGCCCAGGUAGUCAACUAUAAACACCGAAAACAGUGCAGAGAGAAUCAUCGAGAAAGGUUCCAGAGAAAUAAACUACAAGAAGAUGUGUGCUGCAUGAACCAUAUGGUAUACUAUGUGUUACCCAUGGGUUAAUGGGUACAGAGUGCUAGAAACAGAUGUGACAUUUCAGCUAUUCAAAGGCUAAAACGUUUUCUUCCUUAUCAGAUGGAAUUAUUCAUUGGCUUCCAGGUUCAAAAGUGUUUAAAUCAUUGCUGCUUUUACUGCACUCAGUCAGACACCUGCAAGGGCUCUUUCUGGUCAUAUGUCUUUGCAACCCUUUCCUAGGUGGACAGUGUGAAUGAAACAAGCAGUCUCCUAGAACACUAUUUUCUUCUGUUUCCAGAGCAAAUCAAUCUCAUGGUGUGGGAUAUGAACAACUUUAGCUAAGGAAAUGGUACAGCCUUUCAAUCUUGCAUCAUGUAAAGCCAAGAUACUUUUCAUUGCUUUGUUGUUAUGUGUUGAUUUUUGAAUGAAUUAGUCAAAAUUGUAGCCAGGAAUUGGAUAGAGAUUAGAAACUUAAAUCAUCUUCCCCAAGGGGGAAGGGAAAAGCAUAUCAGUUGCUGUCAUGUAGAGCUGGCAGUCAGAAAAGACAUUUGAAACAAGAAAUACAGUCCAAGUCAUGAAAUGUGUAAGGAGGACAGAAAUUGUAAGUAAAUAAUCUGAUCUGCUUUGCUACAGUUCCAUAUGUACACCGACAGACACAUACACACACAUAGAUUUUCGUGUUCAAAUUGACCAUUUGGUUCCUAGCAAAUGCCAUGUCAUGUGCGCUCCAUCUCAUCAUGAGUUUCAGAAAUGCCCAUUUUGUCAUCUUUUUUAAUAGUCUCCAGGAUGAUAUUUUGGAGAUUCAGACGUGGUGUUUGGUUUUUUGUUUUGUUUUGUUUCGUUUUGUUUCGUUUUUUGUCAGCAUUAACUGUGAACAGAUUUUCACAGUGGAAUCAUAUCCCGUUCUUUCAAUAAAUGAUACAUCAAAAUUAGAAUAAAAGUUUGUGUCACUAUGAUACAAGAAGCUCAGCUCCUCAACCAGGUAUGGAGAACAUGUAUUGCACUCAGAAAAGUGGGUAUGUGUACAUAAUUUUACUAGCUACUGAUAUGUAGUUGCCCUCAGAAAUGGAGCAAGAAAUAAUCUCUGCCAUAGAACAGCAAUUUGGAGAAAUAAUCAAAUCCAGAGGUGCUGAAUGAGAUGCACCUGUGAAAACUGAGGCAAAUAUACAGGCUGGCAGAACUUGAUAAGCAUGUGAGGGGGAGGAAAUUGAGGGUCACACUCCUGCGUUAGCAGUUAGGGCAUUGUUACAGGAUGUAAUCAAAAAGACAGCGUUGUUUUUGUACCAGGGAAGCUGCAGGAUAAUUUCAGAGGACUUGAUAGCUGUGAGGGCAGGGCUAUGGCUGGUGGCAUGUAGACAGUGUUGUCCUAUCAGGUGCCUAGGCACUGGCACCAUCACACCAAGCUGGUUCCAAUGUUCUCUCAGGGCUGUUCACUUGCUGAUUUGUUGUGUGGCUCCCUGCCUCACAUACAAGUUCCUUGGUCUUCCUCGUCCCAAAUGCUGUGAGUACCAAAGGCAACAAUUGUUGGGCAUUCAUUUCAUUUUGCUCACAAUGUGCAAAUAUGCUGAUGCGGAUCAAGACUCAUUCAUUAAAACUAAAUGAACUGAAAUCAUGAUUAACAGAAAUAAAUACAGCUGUUAGAUUGUGCACUUUAUUACCUGGGUUCUUUGGCAGCUAUCCAUUAUUUUAAAGCAGCAUCUGUUGACAUACUCUAAUCCUGUGUGAGAAAGUGAAAUAGACGUUUCUCCUUUUAAUAAAGAGUGUAAGAUACUGCUUUUGAAAAUUCCUGACUGCAUAUGCUACUAAUCUUGAUGAUGAACUCAACAGCUAAACUAAAAGCAACCCAAACAUCAUGCCCAAAGGGAAGCAGCCUCAUGAUAAACUGUAGUUGAACCGCACCACAGCGUAAUAAGGAAAAGAAAAUCAAUACGUGAACCUCUUUAAGAGUCUUCAGUGCAACAUAAAUGUAAAUGUCGUUAAUAGGAAGCUGCCAUCUGGACAGUUGGAUGAUGUAGAUUCUGGCAGUAGAGGUGCCAUUCCUCUUGGAAAGCACAAGAAAAUCAGACUUUGAAAGAUGCUGCAAACAGAGUUUUACUGAAUCUCUUCUGAAUAUAUUAAAGUUGGCUGUGAGAAAAAGCUUGCAAAGCUUUCCUCUUCUUCAUGUUUUGGAUCCAGGCAGAGAUCACUGUUCAAAUACAUUAGUGAUAUAGAUCUGUACAAAUGUGACCACAGAAAAAAAAAGGUCCCUUUUAAAAGAUCUUUUCUCUAAAAAGGACACUGUAUUCCAAAAGAGUCUGUAUUAUGGGAUUCCUACUUUAUAUAUGUAAAAUCCUGAAGUCAGAGAUAGUUUGCAGGAGAGAGAAAGCAAACAUCUUUUAAGAUCUUUUUUUAAAUGAUCACCGCUCCUUAUUUAGGUUUCAUAGAAGACCGCAGAACAGAAAAUAAAUGAAAAGCAAGUACUUUUCCCCAAGAAUGUUUUUUACUGUACAUUUUGUAGCAAAAAAAAAAGAAAAAGAAAAAGAAAAAGAAAAAAGGAAAAAAUAUUCCAAUCACAGGGAUGUCAUUUCUAAAACUCCAAGUAGGAAACAUGACAAAUACAAGAUCAAGUACACAGCCAUGUCACAAUAUAUCUCUGCACCUUUAAAAAAAAUAUACAUAGAGUUUUUUUAGAGUGUUAUUUGCUCUGUGCCCUGACCCUUUCCCCACAUCUUUUACAAAAUCAUAGGAACUAUGUGCAAUUUCAGAAUGGUUCCCAGCAGCUGAUCAUUGGCAGCCAACAAAUUAAUAAACAAGGACAGUUGCAGUAGCCACCAGAAUGCUGGAAAUCACAGUCAAGUCACUGAGGACAAUAAAGUCACCAAGGACAAUGGGCCAUGUGCAUUUCCAAAACCACAGCAAUGCUCCCCAACAAGGAAUCUGAGAAUCAGUUUACAAGCCCUAAAGAGCUUAUGUUCUUAGUUAGCAAAUAGCUAAGGGUGAGGGACAGGGGCGCUAGGGUACUUGGGAAAGGCUGAUUGUGUGCAGGAGACACAUGGGAGACUCCCUGUCCUGUGACACCCAAAUUUAACUUUUUAUGUGGCUAAUUGGGAACGUAUCCAAUCCCCUGAAACACACAAAAACUUACAUUUCAUGUGAUGCUAGUGGUACAGUCAAGCUGUGUCAUGGAGACUGUAGAAAGAGCUUUUGUCACAAUAGGGUGGAAAACUGUGUUUUCUUUGUCAGUUGAGCAGAGAGUGACAGUGUGACCUUUGCCAGAAGCAACUGGCAUUCAUAAUGUAGACUGUUCAUGGGAGACACUUUGGUUUUCCCUUUCUUUUUCCUUUACUAUGAAAUCUUGAUAACUACUUUUUGCAUCUUUGUUAGCAAAACCCCCAGAGAUACCAAUAGUUGCUGCAAUCUGCCUUAAGCCCUGACAAGCAGAGAAUAUGAAGAAGAUGGAAGAAAGAGGAGGAUUUUUUAAAAACUUAUCAGGUCCUAGAUUUUACUUUUUCUAGGACAUGCAGUGGUAGUAUCAGAGGUGGGUUAUACAGAAUUUCAGAAAUUUGACCUUUGUACGUAUCCUCCUUUUCAUCCAGGGGAUUUAGCAGGAGACUGAAAACAAAACCAAAAAUACAUGGAAACAGUUUCUGCUGGGAAAGAAAAAAACAGAAACCAACAAAACAAAACAGCCCAGAAGCACACACAAGGCAAAACAAAAUGAAAAAUCAGCAAAUCCCAAACGAAAAGCCCACUCGACAGAUGAUCUGCAAGUGGGGACAUACUGCAAAUCUUCAUGGAAGGUCUGCUGCUGCUGAACAUAAUGCCUCUGCACUUAUUGUCAAUGCAGUCCCCUGCAACCAGCUGUUUUCUUCAUCUUUCCCUCGUCCCACAGACUGAGGAACUCUCCUACGGGGGUAUAUCAUCCGUCCCACACUUUGCUCUGCUCCAUUCUUAUUUGUCUUCCAUAGAUUUCAUACUGUCCCUAUCCCGCAAAGGGAGCGUCUUAUACACAAACCAAGGAUGAUACACAGAAUAAAAGGAUCAAUCUUCAA
Gallus gallus (chicken) is the source of this 5527-nucleotide long non-coding RNA. RefSeq lists it as uncharacterized. The record is from RefSeq and is a predicted model, not a curated record. The transcript is spliced from 5 exons. NCBI's taxonomy places the organism in Eukaryota, Metazoa, Chordata, Aves, Galliformes, Phasianidae.